AAUGAACGUUGGCGGCGUGGAUUAGGCAUGCAAGUCGAGCGGGUGUAGCAAUACACCAGCGGCGAAAGGGACAGUAACACGUGGAUACCUACCCUCAGGACUGGGAUAGCUGCGGGAAACUGCAGGUAAUACCAGAUGAUAUCUCCGGAUCAAAGGUGUGAAUCCGCCGGCGGAUGGGUCCGCGUCCUAUCAGCUAGGUGGCGGGGUAAUGGCCCACCAAGGCAACGACGGGUAGCAGGUGUGAGAGCACGACCUGCGUCACUGGGACUGAGACACUGCCCAGACACCUACGGGUGGCUGCAGUCGAGAAUCUGCGGCAAUGAGCGCAAGCUUGACCGAGCGACGCCGCGUGCGGGAUGAAGGCCCUCGGGUUGUAAACCGCUGUCAGUGGGGAGGAAGGUCUGGUGAAGAGCCAGAUUUGACCUAUCCGCAGAGGAAGUGUGGGCUAAGUCCGUGCCAGCCGCCGCAGUAAGC
This 474-nucleotide ribosomal RNA is filed under the name uncultured bacterium. Its description in RNAcentral is "bacterial SSU rRNA". It matches the Rfam family "Bacterial small subunit ribosomal RNA", at positions 29 to 525 of the family's 1533-position model. The record is from RNAcentral.